GAACGCUAGCUACAGGCUUAACACAUGCAAGUCGAGGGGCAUCAGGAAGAAAGCUUGCUUUCUUUGCUGGCGACCGGCGCACGGGUGAGUAACACGUAUCCAACCUGCCCUUUACUCGGGGAUAGCCUUUCGAAAGAAAGAUUAAUACCCGAUAGUAUAAUGAUUCCGCAUGGUUUGAUUAUUAAAGGAUUCCGGUAAAGGAUGGGGAUGCGUUCCAUUAGGUUGUUGGUGAGGUAACGGCUCACCAAGCCUUCGAUGGAUAGGGGUUCUGAGAGGAAGGUCCCCCACAUUGGAACUGAGACACGGUCCAAACUCCUACGGGAGGCAGCAGUGAGGAAUAUUGGUCAAUGGGCGGUAGCCUGAACCAGCCAAGUAGCGUGAAGGAUGAAGGCUCUAUGGGUCGUAAACUUCUUUUAUAUAAGAAUAAAGUGCAGUAUGUAUACUGUUUUGUAUGUAUUAUAUGAAUAAGGAUCGGCUAACUCCGUGCCAGCAGCCGCGGUAAUACGGAGGAUCCGAGCGUUAUCCGGAUUUAUUGGGUUUAAAGGGAGCGUAGGUGGACUGGUAAGUCAGUUGUGAAAGUUUGCGGCUCAACCGUAAAAUUGCAGUUGAUACUGUCAGUCUUGAGUACAGUAGAGGUGGGCGGAAUUCGUGGUGUAGCGGUGAAAUGCUUAGAUAUCACGAAGAACUCCGAUUGCGAAGGCAGCUCACUGGACUGCAACUGACACUGAUGCUCGAAAGUGUGGGUAUCAAACAGGAUUAGAUACCCUGGUAGUCCACACAGUAAACGAUGAAUACUCGCUGUUUGCGAUAUACAGUAAGCGGCCAAGCGAAAGCAUUAAGUAUUCCACCUGGGGAGUACGCCGGCAACGGUGAAACUCAAAGGAAUUGACGGGGGCCCGCACAAGCGGAGGAACAUGUGGUUUAAUUCGAUGAUACGCGAGGAACCUUACCCGGGCUUAAAUUGCAGUGGAAUGAUGUGGAAACAUGUCAGUGAGCAAUCAUCGCUGUGAAGGUGCUGCAUGGUUGUCGUCAGCUCGUGCCGUGAGGUGUCGGCUUAAGUGCCAUAACGAGCGCAACCCUUAUCUUUAGUUACUAACAGGUCAUGCUGAGGACUCUAGAGAGACUGCCGUCGUAAGAUGUGAGGAAGGUGGGGAUGACGUCAAAUCAGCACGGCCCUUACGUCCGGGGCUACACACGUGUUACAAUGGGGGGUACAGAAGGCAGCUAGCGGGUGACCGUAUGCUAAUCCCAAAAGCCUCUCUCAGUUCGGAUCGAAGUCUGCAACCCGACUUCGUGAAGCUGGAUUCGCUAGUAAUCGCGCAUCAGCCACGGCGCGGUGAAUACGUUCCCGGGCCUUGUACACACCGCCCGUCAAGCCAUGGGAGCCGGGGGUACCUGAAGUACGUAACCGCAAGGAUCGUCCUAGGGUAAAACUGGUGACUG
This 1443-nucleotide ribosomal RNA is filed under the name uncultured organism. RNAcentral's name for it is "SSU rRNA". It matches the Rfam family "Bacterial small subunit ribosomal RNA". The record is from RNAcentral.